UUUAUUGAACCCAAAUAGAGGUAUUCCCUGUUAAGGAUAUUAUGAAUAAUUUUCCAAUUAAG
This 62-nucleotide transfer RNA is filed under the name Protosialis americana. RNAcentral's name for it is "tRNA-Asn". The record is from RNAcentral. Lineage: Eukaryota; Metazoa; Arthropoda; Insecta; Megaloptera; Sialidae.